Molecule: non-coding RNA, 212 nt
Filed under: Vibrio aestuarianus
Lineage: Bacteria; Pseudomonadati; Pseudomonadota; Gammaproteobacteria; Vibrionales; Vibrionaceae
Also listed under: 1 other name
Description: GcvB
Rfam family: GcvB RNA
About the family: The gcvB gene encodes a small untranslated RNA involved in expression of the dipeptide and oligopeptide transport systems in Escherichia coli. Included several unknown homologues in alignment (Bateman A pers obs).
Source: RNAcentral
CCGCAGCAAGGCCUGAACGGCUUGGUUCUCUCUAGAAUCAAUUGGCUUAUUGUUGCGAUGUUGUGUUUGCAAACUCGUAUUUCGAGUUAGGUAGAUUUCUACCAUCCUGUUUUGUACAGAUAUCCCCUGUUGCAAAACAAAUACUUCCUGUAUUUAUUUUUUGACCUGUCUGUCAAAUUUUUUAGCACCGCCUUUAGGCGGUGUUUUUUUAU